GUUGCAGAGGAAGGAGCUCCAUAACACAGAGGCUAAAGGGGACUGCUUGGCUUACAGGACAGGCCCAGAGUCCUGUAAACUGGACACAUACAGCCUAUGGGGAAGUAAGGCCCAAUAUGGAGGAGACCAUGGUGGUUCAGCGAGGGAGCAGAUGCUUAUUGAAACCUGCAGGGACCUUGCAUACAAACAAAGGCUGACUCUUCUGUACCUCCUGCAAUGUAACUUCAAGUCUGAGGUACACAUGAAGAGGAAGGCUUUUGCACAGAUUGAAGAUCAGAUAAAGAAGCAAGCCACUUUGUCCUUUCAGCGCUGUCCAUGUCACCUGCAAUGUCUACAUUCUGAUCCCUAAUAAGUGACAUCCAGUGCCUGUAGUUCCCCAAGGUGGAUAGCCUGGUGUCUUCCUUCAAGAAAGCCUUCAAGCACUGUCCAGGCCAUAAGGUCUGGUACAGGGAGUCAGUUGCCAGUCAAAGUCAGGAUUCAUGUGACACUGUUGCUGCUACCAGAGCCUGUACUCACACGGUGGAAUUCCUGGUGCACUGUGGUCCAUUACCAUGCCAAGCCUAUGCAGCACUACCAGCACUUUGUAAGUGAGGAGCUUGAAAUUCCACUCAGCACACAGCAAAUACUCAAGCUUUGUGAUCUAGGAUGAGGCAACAUUCAAAAUCAAGUGACGUUUGUGCCUAACAAUGCCACCUGGUUCAUUCAGCUUCUGAUCUGGUUUGAAGGCUGGCAGGCUGUUAUCCACCACACACACAGCAAGGUGAUGGACUUGUUAAGCUGGGUCAAAGACAGGGCAUUGCAAGAACUGGCAAGCUGCCCCUGUGAAAACCAGUGCAGAAGGGAACUGUUCCAGGCAAUAGCUACGAAGUUGAACCAUUACUACAGGUAUGAACCAUUACUGCCACCACAGCUCAGACAGCCAGCUGCCUCCUUAGUGCUGUUCACAUAUUGAACCCCAACCAGGUGUCUCUGCUGAGUUGUGCAAUCCCAGGAUGGGGGAAACAGCAUGGCAAUGAAUGUGCUGCCUACAUGAACUUCAUCAGAGUGCCAGAUUCCUGUAUCCAUGCCUGUGUUCUGGGACUCCGUCUAUGACCGGUUUCCACAUCUUUACACCAUGAGCACGAUGCUUCCUCACCAUUCCAAUGAAAUUAUUGAACACUGAGCAUGCCAUCUCUGUGUAUGGACAAGUGUGCAACCCACAGAGGCAGAGAAUGUCUCUAGUCACUGUGGCUGGGUGCACCAUGCUUCAGUUUAAUACAUAGCCUGAUAUGCCCUUCUUAAGGUUAGCAGCAUUCAGUUUCAGUAAAUUCCUUUUAAUAAUGUCCAUUAACAAAGUGUAUACAGUUGGUGUUAGUUACAAUUCAUGUUGUGCAUAGUACAGCUUUUAUUUUCAUAGAAUAUUUCAAUUUAGAAUUUCACUUAGUGCUUAGAUGGUAUUAUUUAAUAAAGUGUAUAUAAGUUGAUAUUUUUUAAUAAAGUGUAUAUCGUUGGUA
Long non-coding RNA from Alligator sinensis (Chinese alligator), 1493 nucleotides. RefSeq lists it as uncharacterized. The transcript is spliced from 2 exons. The record is from RefSeq and is a predicted model, not a curated record. NCBI's taxonomy places the organism in Eukaryota, Metazoa, Chordata, Crocodylia, Alligatoridae.